This 198-nucleotide ribosomal RNA is filed under the name Staphylococcus aureus. Its description in RNAcentral is "partial 23S ribosomal RNA". It matches the Rfam family "Bacterial large subunit ribosomal RNA", at positions 2727 to 2925 of the family's 2925-position model. The record is from RNAcentral. Lineage: Bacteria; Bacillati; Bacillota; Bacilli; Caryophanales; Staphylococcaceae.
UGCCAACGGCAUAGCUGGGUAGCUAUGUGUGGACGGGAUAAGUGCUGAAAGCAUCUAAGCAUGAAGCCCCCCUCAAGAUGAGAUUUCCCAACUUCGGUUAUAAGAUCCCUCAAAGAUGAUGAGGUUAAUAGGUUCGAGGUGGAAGCAUGGUGACAUGUGGAGCUGACGAAUACUAAUCGAUCGAAGACUUAAUCAAAA